Molecule: ribosomal RNA, 344 nt
Filed under: uncultured Geobacillus sp.
Lineage: Bacteria; Bacillati; Bacillota; Bacilli; Caryophanales; Anoxybacillaceae
Description: bacterial SSU rRNA
Rfam family: Bacterial small subunit ribosomal RNA
Source: RNAcentral
AGGUGGUGCAUGGUUGUCGUCAGCUCGUGUCGUGAGAUGUUGGGUUAAGUCCCGCAACGAGCGCAACCCUCGACCUUAGUUGCCAGCAUUCAGUUGGGCACUCUAAGGUGACUGCCGGCUAAAAGUCGGAGGAAGUGGGAUGACGUCAAAUCAUCAUGCCCCUUAUGACCUGGGCUACACACGUGCUACAAUGGUUGGUACAACGAGUUGCGAGUCGGUGACGGCGAGCUAAUACUCUUAAAGCCAAUCUCAGUUCGGAUUGUAGGCUGCAACUCGCCUACAUGAAGUCGGAAUCGCUAGUAAUCGCGGAUCAGCACGCCGCGGUGAAUACGUUCCCGGGCCUU